This 907-nucleotide ribosomal RNA is filed under the name uncultured crenarchaeote. RNAcentral's name for it is "bacterial SSU rRNA". It matches the Rfam family "Archaeal small subunit ribosomal RNA", at positions 21 to 904 of the family's 1478-position model. The record is from RNAcentral. Lineage: Archaea; Thermoproteati; Thermoproteota.
CCCCACUGCUAUCGGGAUGGGACUAAGACAUGCUAGUCGAGCGUCUCCAAGCUAUGGAAGAGACGCGGCACACAGCUCAGUAACACGUGGCUAACCUGCCCUUGGGACAAGGACAACCCCGGGAAACUGGGGCUAAUCCCUGAUAGGUGAGAACUCCUGGAAUGGAUUCUCGCUGAAAGGACGUUUAGACCAUGCUUCUAGGCGUCGCCCAAGGAGGGGGCCGCGACCGAUCAGGUUGUUGGUGAGGUAACGGCUCACCAAGCCUUUAACCGGUACGGGCCGUGAGAGCGGAAGCCCGGAGAUGGGCACUGAGACAAGGGCCCAGGCCCUACGGGGCGCAGCAGUCGCGAAAACUCCGCAAUACACGAAAGUGUGACGGGGCUAUCCCGAGUGCCAUCCGCUGAGGAUGGCUUUUCCCCAGUGUAUAAAGCUGGGGGAAUAAGGAGAGGGCAAGCCUGGUGUCAGCCGCCGCGGUAAUACCAGCUCUCCGAGUGGUGGGGAUGUUAUUGGGCCUAAAGCAUUCGUAGCCUGCUUGGCAAGUCCUCCGUUAAAUCCAACGAUUCAAUCGUUGGGCUGCGGGGGGGUACUGUCCGGCUAGGGGGCGGGAGAGGCCGACGGUAUCCCCGGGGUAGGGGUGAAAUUCUAUAAUCCCGGGAGGACCACCAGUGGCGAAGGCUGUCGGCUAGAACGUGCUCGACGGUGAGGGAUGAAAGCUGGGGGAGCGAACCGGAUUAGAUACCCGGGUUGUCCCAGCUGUAAACGAUGCAGGCUAGGUGUUGGCGCGGCUACGUGCCGCUCCAGUGCCGCAGGGAAGCCGUUAAGCCUGCCGCCUGGGAAGUACGGCCGCAAGGCUGAAACUUAAAGGAAUUGGCGGGGGAGCACCACAAGGUGUGAAGCUUGCGGUUUG